CCUACGGGUGGCAGCAGUGAGGAAUAUUGGUCAAUGGACGAGAGUCUGAACCAGCCAAGUAGCGUGAAGGAUGACUGCCCUAUGGGUUGUAAACUUCUUUUAUAUGGGAAUAAAAUGUUCCACGUGUGGGAUUUUGUAUGUACCAUAUGAAUAAGGAUCGGCUAACUCCGUGCCAGCAGCCGCGGUAAUACGGAGGAUCCGAGCGUUAUCCGGAUUUAUUGGGUUUAAAGGGAGCGUAGGUGGAUUGUUAAGUCAGUUGUGAAAGUUUGCGGCUCAACCGUAAAAGUGCAGUUGAAACUGGCAGUCUUGAGUACAGUAGAGGUGAGCGGAAUUCGUGGUGUAGCGGUGAAAUGCUUAGAUAUCACGAAGAACUCCGAUUGCGAAGGCAGUUCACUGGACUGCAACUGACACUGAGGCUCGAAAGUGUGGGUAUCAAACAGGAUUAGAUACCCCUGUAGUC
Molecule: ribosomal RNA, 460 nt
Filed under: uncultured bacterium
Lineage: Bacteria
Description: partial 16S ribosomal RNA
Rfam family: Bacterial small subunit ribosomal RNA
Source: RNAcentral